Molecule: ribosomal RNA, 757 nt
Filed under: uncultured Alteromonas sp.
Lineage: Bacteria; Pseudomonadati; Pseudomonadota; Gammaproteobacteria; Alteromonadales; Alteromonadaceae
Description: bacterial SSU rRNA
Rfam family: Bacterial small subunit ribosomal RNA
Source: RNAcentral
UCGACGGUAACAUUUCUAGCUUGCUAGAAGAUGACGAGUGGCGGACGGGUGAGUAAUGCUUGGGAACUUGCCUUUGCGAGGGGGAUAACAGUUGGAAACGACUGCUAAUACCGCAUAAUGUCUUCGGACCAAACGGGGCUUCGGCUCCGGCGCAAAGAGAGGCCCAAGUGAGAUUAGCUAGUUGGUAAGGUAACGGCUUACCAAGGCGACGAUCUCUAGCUGUUCUGAGAGGAAGAUCAGCCACACUGGGACUGAGACACGGCCCAGACUCCUACGGGAGGCAGCAGUGGGGAAUAUUGCACAAUGGGGGAAACCCUGAUGCAGCCAUGCCGCGUGUGUGAAGAAGGCCUUCGGGUUGUAAAGCACUUUCAGUUGUGAGGAAAAGUUAGUAGUUAAUACCUGCUAGCCGUGACGUUAACAACAGAAGAAGCACCGGCUAACUCCGUGCCAGCAGCCGCGGUAAUACGGAGGGUGCGAGCGUUAAUCGGAAUUACUGGGCGUAAAGCGCACGCAGGCGGUUUGUUAAGCUAGAUGUGAAAGCCCCGGGCUCAACCUGGGAUGGUCAUUUAGAACUGGCAGACUAGAGUCUUGGAGAGGGGAGUGGAAUUCCAGGUGUAGCGGUGAAAUGCGUAGAUAUCUGGAGGAACAUCAGUGGCGAAGGGCGACUCCCUGGCCAAAGACUGACGCUCAUGUGCGAAAGUGUGGGUAGCGAACAGGAUUAGAUACCCUGGUAGUCCACACCGUAAACGCUGUCUAC